GUGGGGAAUCUUGCGCAAUGGGCGAAAGCCUGACGCAGUCAUGCCGCGUGAAUGAUGAAGGUCUUAGGAUUGUAAAAUUCUUUCACCGGGGACGAUAAUGACGGUACCCGGAGAAGAAGCUCCGGCUAACUUCGUGCCAGCAGCCGCGGUAAUACGAAGGGGGCUAGCGUUGCUCGGAAUUACUGGGCGUAAAGGGCGCGUAGGCGGACAGCUUAGUCAGAGGUGAAAGCCCAGGGCUCAACCUUGGAAUUGCCUUUGAUACUGGCUGUCUUGAGUUUGGGAGAGGUGAGUGGAACUCCGAGUGUAGAGGUGAAAUUCGUAGAUAUUCGGAAGAACACCAGUGGCGAAGGCGACUCACUGGCCCAAUACUGACGCUGAGGCGCGAAAGCGUGGGGAGCAAACAGGAUUAGAUACCCGAGUAGUCC
RNAcentral lists this ribosomal RNA (425 nucleotides) under uncultured bacterium. Its description in RNAcentral is "partial 16S ribosomal RNA". It matches the Rfam family "Bacterial small subunit ribosomal RNA", at positions 354 to 796 of the family's 1533-position model. The record is from RNAcentral.